ACAACUCUUCUCCUAUCUCUUCUCUAUCUGCAUUUUCUCCACUCACAAAAAACUACAGACGAUAUGGAGCUUUCUCACCACUAGGGAACAAAGGCCCAAGGUGCUUAAUGAUUUGUGAGUCGCACCCCACACUAACACUUGAGAAAUCUCCUUCAACAGAUUGGUGUGAUUCAUUUGGACUUUGUCCAGAGCUUCAAAGAUUCAUCAUCUGCAUACUAAGUUUGACAUGCAAAUGCUUAAGGUGUGAAUGUAGUUAAAGUGCCUUCGGAUGGUAGGAUUUCAAAAAAUUAAACAGUGUAAUACUUCUAUCUAGUUUUUAAAUUGUAUUAGUUUAUUGUUUGAGGUCCACGAGAAAAGAAGACGCAGUUUGAAGUAAAAAACAUUGAUUAACUGUGUUGUAUUUCUCGUGGUUAAUCCAGUGUUCGUCUAAGCUAUUACGAGGUCUAAAGCAAAAUGAAUUUUAUUUAAAAUUUAUUUUUUGUAUUUUUU
This 489-nucleotide long non-coding RNA is filed under the name Cicer arietinum (chickpea). RNAcentral describes it as "long non-coding RNA (CARI_LNC003599)". The record is from RNAcentral. Lineage: Eukaryota; Viridiplantae; Streptophyta; Magnoliopsida; Fabales; Fabaceae.